AUGAAGCAAAUCAAGAGCAAUUUAAAGGAGGUACAGCUCCUUUAAAAAAGAACACAAUCUCCUGCAGCGGAUAAAUAUUAACUACUCAUACUGACUGUGGGCCUUCAAGCAGCCAUCAAAAAAGAAUGCGUCAAAGCUCUUUAAACAGAAAAAAUUCUAAAAUAGAACGACUCCCUUACAAGCUAGCAGGNUAACCUAUCAACCAUAGGAGAAUUAAUGCUAAAAUGAGUAACUAAGGAGGACCUCCCCUCUCCUCUCGAGCGCACGCUUACACACCCGUUAUUAACAGACUAACAAUACUUCAACACCAACAAGCCCAAGUAUUAACACACCUGUUAACCCGCCCACAGGAGCGCCUACUAGAAAGAUUAACAUCUGUAAAAGGAACUAGGCAAACCCAAGGCCCGACUGUUUACCAAAAACAUAGCCUUCAGCAAACCAAGUAUUGGAGGUGAUGCCUGCCCAGUGACCCAAUGUUCAACGGCCGCGGUAUCCUAACCGUGCAAAGGUAGCGCAAUCAAUUGUCCCAUAAAUCGAGACUUGUAUGAAAGGCUAAACGAGGUCUUAACUGUCUCUUACAGAUAAUCAGUGAAAUUGAUCUCCCUGUGCAAAAGCAGGGAUUAACCCAUAAGACGAGAAGACCCUGUGGAACUUGAAAAUCAGCUACCACCCCUCACAAACUUGAACCUAUUAGGUCUACCCUUAUUAAAGUGCUGGUAUACAUUUUUCGGUUGGGGCGACUUUGGAGAAAAACGAAUCCUCCAAACAUAAGACUACACCUCUUAAUCAAGAGCAACUUCUCAACAUACUAAUAGUAACCAGACCCAGUAUAAUUGAUUAAUGGACCAAGCUACCCCAGGGAUAACAGCGCAAUCUCCCCCGAGAGCUCAUAUCGACAGGGAGGUUUACGACCUCGAUGUUGGAUCAGGACAUCCUAAUGGUGCAGCCGCUAUUAAGGGUUCGUUUGUUCAACGAUUAAUAGUCCUACGUGAUCUGAGUUCAGACCGGAGCAAUCCAGGUCGGUUUCUAUCUAUGUUAAACUUCCCCUAGUACGAAAGGACCGGAGAAGUGAGGCCAAUACCACAAGCAUGCCUCCCCUUACAAAUAAUGACCUCAACUUAAUUAUCAAAAAGGUUACCACUCCCAUUGCCCUAGAAAAGGGCCCAGCUAGCGUGGCAGAGCUCGGCAAAUGCAA
RNAcentral lists this ribosomal RNA (1195 nucleotides) under Opisthocomus hoazin. RNAcentral describes it as "16S ribosomal RNA". It matches the Rfam family "Bacterial large subunit ribosomal RNA", at positions 967 to 2925 of the family's 2925-position model. Lineage: Eukaryota; Metazoa; Chordata; Aves; Opisthocomiformes; Opisthocomidae. The record is from RNAcentral.